Poecilia reticulata (guppy) is the source of this 736-nucleotide non-coding RNA. NCBI's taxonomy places the organism in Eukaryota, Metazoa, Chordata, Actinopteri, Cyprinodontiformes, Poeciliidae. The record is from RefSeq and is a predicted model, not a curated record.
CAUUGAUGGAUAUAUUACUGGACAUUACGUGAUUUAUCUUUACAGGUUAUCUCACCAAGGAACCAGCUGUUUCUGGAGAUGGUUGACGGUGGGUUUGUCAUCAAAGAGCCCUCAGCUCCUGCUCUGCUGCUGUGCCCCACACCUGCCUGUGGUUUGGCAUUAGGCCUGGCCUUCCAGUUUCCUUGCAGUGGGAUCAGUGGCAGAUGAAAGACAUUGACACGGAGGAGGAGGAGUCGGCUUUUCUUUUGCUGAUGAAAACAAGAAUCAGCAAGGCUAAAGGCAAAACAAGUUGUGUCUGUCUGGCUGUCUUUCGACGCAGGAUGCCGUCAUCAUCCAAACGAAAGAGGCGAUUGGUGUGAAGUGCUGAUUUCUUUGCACUGAGCAGAGAGUGCCAUGGACCAUACUGCAUGGGAACUUGGGUCCUCAACUGACUGUGCAACUGCUUGAACUGAACGAGAUGACAUUUCCUCAGUACAAUGUUCCAUCAUGGUGUUAAUAUCCACUGGCAGCCUUGACAGACAGUCGGCAUUGAUGUUUUCUUUUCCUGGUCGGUAUCCGAUGGUAAGGUGAAAAUCCGCUAAUUCAGCAACCCACCGACACCCGGUUGCAUUCAGCUUAGCUGUAGACAAGACAUAAGUGAGUGGAUUGUUGUCUGUAUAGACAGUGCAUGACGAGCCAAUCAAAUAGUCUCUAAAUUUUUCACAGACAGCCCAUUUUAAGGCAAGGAAUUCCAAUU